This 432-nucleotide ribosomal RNA is filed under the name uncultured bacterium. RNAcentral's name for it is "partial 16S ribosomal RNA". It matches the Rfam family "Bacterial small subunit ribosomal RNA", at positions 29 to 507 of the family's 1533-position model. The record is from RNAcentral.
GCGAACGCUGGCGGCAGGCCUAACACAUGCAAGUCGAACGGAUCCUUCGGGAUUAGUGGCGGACGGGUGAGUAACACGUGGGAACGUGCCCUUUGGUUCGGAACAACUCAGGGAAACUUGAGCUAAUACCGGAUGUGCCCUUCGGGGGAAAGAUUUAUCGCCAUUGGAGCGGCCCGCGUCUGAUUAGCUAGUUGGUGAGGUAACGGCCCACCAAGGCGACGAUCAGUAGCUGGUCUGAGAGGAUGAUCAGCCACACUGGGACUGGGACACGGCCCAGACUCCUACGGGAGGCAGCAGUGGGGAAUCUUGCGCAAUGGGCGAAAGCCUGACGCAGCCAUGCCGCGUGAAUGAUGAAGGUCUUAGGAUUGUAAAAUUCUUUCAGCGGGGACGAUAAUGACGGUACCCGCAGAAGAAGCUCCGGCUAACUUCGUG